CAACUUUAAGGUCUAUGAUGUGCAAACACCAGAUACAGAACAUUGACACCAGGCUCACAUUUAAUACGAAGUGUUGGUGCUACAUAUUUCAAGGGAGCUCAUCAAUUUUUGUGUUUAAAAUUAAUCUUCAGGUGGACUACAUUCUUGGAGACAACCCAAGAGCUACAAGUUACAUGGUUGGAUAUGGAAACAAUUACCCUCAAAGAGUUCACCACAGAGGUUCAUCCAUUGUGUCAAUCAAGGCUAAUCCAAAUUUUGUCAGCUGUAAUGGAGGUUAUGCUACUUGGUUUAGCAGCAAAAAGAGCAACACCAAUAUACU
This 319-nucleotide long non-coding RNA is filed under the name Medicago truncatula (barrel medic). RNAcentral describes it as "long non-coding RNA (MTRU_LNC006680)". Lineage: Eukaryota; Viridiplantae; Streptophyta; Magnoliopsida; Fabales; Fabaceae. The record is from RNAcentral.